AAAUUAUUUCAAUUUUCUUUUACAAUACUAUUACACUAUAAUUAAAAUAAUUUUUUUUUUAUAAAAUACUAAAACAAAUCUUUAUAUAAUUAUUUUUAAUAAAUAAAAAUUUUAAAAUUAAUAAAUUAAUAAAUAAAAUAUAAUCAAUCUAUAUUGAUUUGCACAAAAAUCUUUUCAAUGUAAAUGAAAUGCUUUACUUUAUAAGCUUUAAAUUGCAUUCUAGAUACACUUUCCAGUACAUCUACUAUGUUACGACUUAUCUUACCUUAAUAAUAAGAGCGACGGGCGAUGUGUACAUAUUUUAGAGCUAAAAUCAAAUUAUUAGUCUUUAUAAUUUUACUAUCAAAUCCACCUUCAAUAAAUAUUUCAAAUUUAUAUUCGUAUAAAUAAAUUUAUUGUAAUUCAUUUCUACUUAAACAUAAGCUACACCUUGAUCUGAUAUAUUUUCUUUUAAAAAAUUAUGAAAAUUAACAUUCUCAUAAAAUAUUCUAAUAACGACGGUAUAUAAACUGAUUACAAAUUUAAGUAAGGUCCAUCGUGGAUUAUCGAUUAUAGAACAAAUUCCUCUGAAUAGACUAAAAUACCGCCAAAUUUUUUAAGUUUCAAGAACAUAACUA
Molecule: ribosomal RNA, 617 nt
Filed under: Norellisoma mirusae
Lineage: Eukaryota; Metazoa; Arthropoda; Insecta; Diptera; Scathophagidae
Description: Norellia mirusae partial 12S ribosomal RNA
Source: RNAcentral